Long non-coding RNA from Adelges cooleyi (spruce gall adelgid), 1917 nucleotides. RefSeq lists it as uncharacterized. The record is from RefSeq and is a predicted model, not a curated record. NCBI's taxonomy places the organism in Eukaryota, Metazoa, Arthropoda, Insecta, Hemiptera, Adelgidae. The transcript is spliced from 9 exons.
CUGACUUGUAUGAAGUUAGCGAUAACAUUUUAUCAAUUUGUGAUAACAAUUAUUCGGUUCGGAGGAAAAUAAUCGUUAUCAUAUGUUGCUAACUUCAUACAUAUAAAUACCAAACAGGAAUCGCAAAUUAUUAAUGAAACAAAAUCAUUUUUUCAAUUAUCAAAUUUAAAUAUUCCUUGCUUUCCAUAAUACAAUAUUAUCGUGUGAACUGUGAAGUGUUUGGUCGGUAAAAAUGAGGAUUACAAUUUAUACACAAUGAGAUUAUAAGCAAUUUGUCACAUCUAACUUGCCAGCAGAAUUUUCACACAAUACCAACAAAUCGCUGUAUCCUCAGCUGGAACUCUCUUGUUUGCUGUCAACGAAUUUGGUGAAGCAGAUAUGUUCAGACUAAUUAGCAAUAUACUUAUCAACAAGUAUCGUUUCAACUGCAAAGAACUUCACAUAAAAUACAGUCCCAAUGGAUAACACAUAGCCGCUUGUUAUCUUUUUCCUACUGCAAAUACCGGGUCGCUUCAACGGCCAGUCAGAUAAGUUUGCAAUGGAACUCGUCUUCAGCGACAUAUUCCACAACACAACAGUUCCUGCCUAACCUUAUUUGUGGUGUGCAGUAAAGACGCCACAAUCAGGUUGUACAAAAUAGAAAAUUACCAUAAUUUUCAUUCUUAUUCACCGACGAGACAUACAGACUGAAUUGUGAUCGUAGCUUUUAAAAAAACAUUAUCUAGACCUAAUAAUGAUAUUGAGCAGAGUACCCAUUGUUUUUCGCCAGGACAACAAAAAAGUAGUGGCCAUGCUGGUUGGCCAAUUAUUGUCUUUUACGUUUGUGUGUCGACUCGAGUGGGAAGUGCUGAAAGUAGAAACAACUUAAGAGACCGGCCAAAACAAUACUGAUUUCAUAACAGCGAAAUAAAAUCUAGCAAACUUUCAUUUCUGUUUGUUGUUCGGACGAUGGACAAUUUACUAUAGCCAAGGGCACCCAGUCAAUAAAUUGUUGUAUCUACAAUGUCGUCAAAGCGGUUACUCGUUAUAAAGUUUAUCAUUACGCAGAACCAGUAGUUCGAUUCUGUACUUAGCGUUAUUAAUCGGCCUAAGAUGAUAGUUUUUGGAAGCAAAGAUUUUAAGUCAGACAGAGAGAAUUGAAAGAAGGCGGAAACAUAAACUCCCACAAUUGUGGUUAAGCAGCAGCGAGGACUGUACCCUCAAAAGACCAUAUGAUUUUAACCAAUACUCGAGCAUGGUAGUUAAAAGAAUUGCUAGUAUACAAAACAUUGAAGCGAAAGACAAAGUAGAUGCGAUGGUCGUGGAUGAUGUCGUCGUGACUGAAUGAAUAUUCAGACUGACUAAAUGGACAGUUUAUAAUUUUUUUUUUUUUAAAGACUAAAACAAUGUAAAUGAUGAAGUUAUUAUUACGUUAUAGUUUUAAAACUUAACGGUUUCCAUGUUUUUUUAAAUUUAUAUUAAUUUAUUAUUUUCUUCCGUUAGGCUUAUCCGACCCCGGCCGUAAUAGAUAGAAAACAGAUAUUCUUUUUUUUUUAAAUAACUAAUAAGUAGAUUCAUUCUAUUUGGGUAAUCUUGAAAAAUUAAACAAAUUUCUACACGACAAAAUAGUAUAUUUGAAUCGAUGACUGUUUGUAUGAAAUUAAAUUUUUAGUAAAAAGUUCUAGUAAUGUGGUUCUAUCCCUUGACUGUAUAAAUGACUCGAAUGGGUACUAAUUUUACCAAUAAAAUUGCCAUCAUCAUUCUUAAAAUAAACUCUAAUUCAAAUCUAUUUUUGUUUAUAAAAAUUGUUAUUAUUUUUCUGUACUUAAUAAGCGUGUGUGCGUAGUCACUUUGAGACAUAUGAUAAUUAGGAUUCAGGUGUCCUAUGUUACCUUAAAAGUAAACUCUAGAGUAUAGUGUCUAUUAAAGAUAUUAUUA